CGUUCCCGGGCCUUGUACACACCGCCCGUCACACCACGAGAGUUUGUAAUACCCGAAGUCGGUGGGGUAACCUUUUGGAGCCAGCCGCCUAAGGUGGGACAGAUGAUUGGGGUG
This 114-nucleotide ribosomal RNA is filed under the name uncultured bacterium. RNAcentral describes it as "partial 16S ribosomal RNA". It matches the Rfam family "Bacterial small subunit ribosomal RNA", at positions 1369 to 1482 of the family's 1533-position model. The record is from RNAcentral.